UGGGCAACCUGCCCCUCUCUCUGGGAUAACCCCGGGAAAACCGGAGCUAAUACCGGAUACUCCGGCUGGAUCGCAUGGUCCGGCCGGGAAAGGUCCGCCGGAGAGGGAUGGGCCCGCGGCCUAUCAGCUUGUUGGUGGGGUAACGGCCUACCAAGGCGACGACGGGUAGCUGGUCUGAGAGGACGACCAGCCACACUGGAACUGAGAUACGGUCCAGACUCCUACGGGAGGCA
RNAcentral lists this ribosomal RNA (233 nucleotides) under uncultured bacterium. RNAcentral's name for it is "partial 16S ribosomal RNA". It matches the Rfam family "Bacterial small subunit ribosomal RNA", at positions 118 to 350 of the family's 1533-position model. The record is from RNAcentral.